Non-coding RNA from Sturnus vulgaris (Common starling), 306 nucleotides. The record is from RefSeq and is a predicted model, not a curated record. Lineage: Eukaryota; Metazoa; Chordata; Aves; Passeriformes; Sturnidae.
AUGAAAGCCAGUUCUUUUCAAGUCUGUUACAGAAUAAGGCUCAAAUAUAUUUUAGCCUGAACAAGGACCACAGUGCCUAUGUGGGAUACUUCUGUAUAUUUCCCACCUCAGUGGAAGCAGGAGCACACAGGCGGCUCUGAGUCUCUAAGUCUCAAUUGACAGGAUAUUGGAGGAUCUGGAUUUCAGCAGAGCUGUUUCAUUCCCAUCCUGUACACUUGACAAGUCAUCAGGUCUUGGAAGCAAUUAAACUAGUUAGUUAAAAUCCCUAUUGCCAUAUAUACUCAGUGGGGAUGUGUGUGUUUUAAA